UACAGAGGAGGCAAGCGUUGUUCGGAAUCACUGGGCUUAAAGCGCGUGUAGGCGGCUCCGAAAGUGUCGUGUGAAAUCCCAGAGCUCAACUCUGGAACUGCGCGGCAAACUCCGGAGCUUGAGGCUGGUAGAGGUGCCUGGAACUCUCGGUGGAGCGGUGAAAUGCGUAGAUAUCGAGAGGAACGCCGGAGGCGAAAGCGGGGCACUGGGCCCGUUCUGACGCUGAGAAGCGAAAGCGUGGGGAGCAAACAGG
Molecule: ribosomal RNA, 253 nt
Filed under: uncultured bacterium
Lineage: Bacteria
Description: partial 16S ribosomal RNA
Rfam family: Bacterial small subunit ribosomal RNA
Source: RNAcentral